Molecule: long non-coding RNA, 828 nt
Organism: Dromaius novaehollandiae (emu)
Lineage: Eukaryota; Metazoa; Chordata; Aves; Casuariiformes; Dromaiidae
Exons: 3
Source: RefSeq, a predicted model, not a curated record
AGGCUGCCGGCGCGGGCCAUCCUGCCUUUGCCCCUCAGGAGCCGCCGAUGGAAAAACGUUUUACAGACCCGGGAACGCAUGGCGGGCUCGCGGGGGGCCGUCGGGGAGUUCGUCCCCCGCCCCGGCUGUGGCGACGCUGCUUUGGGGCUUCCCGAAAGCGGCGGGGAGCGCGGAGCGGCGCCGGCGCCCAGCGGGAAAGAUGACGGCAUCCUGCCCAGUGGACUGAAUAAAUGAUAAUGCGCUCUUAUAGCCGUUUGGCCCGCAGUGAGGUAGCCAGCCUUGUUAGCUGCUCUUGUUAGAAUAAAGCGGAAUAAAAAAGAGUGGUUGGAUCAGAGCAAUUUGAAGAAUAGGAACAGUCCAGCUAUGACCUCACCAUAUUGAGCCUAGAACUUGGCAAGAUAAAGAGAAGCUGAGAGCUACUUGAACAGUCUUCUGCAUCAUUGGAUCCAGGCUUGCUCCACCAUAAAAUCUGUUAUGAACAGGAAACUGAAGGUAAUGUGUCUUUGUGAGUAUUACCAGUAGGGGGGAUUGUCUCCUACAGCUCUAGCAGCAGUGCAGUGCAACAGUCAGACAAAGGGCAUACUAUUAUUCAUGCUUUAUUUGGUACAAACAAUGCAUUUUAAUCUGUCUACCAGAAAUCAAGCCAGACUGAGUCAUAACUGUUUUGAGCUUGGAUGCCUGAAUUGUUCCUAGUGUCUGAGCUAGCCUUUUCCUAUAUCUGCCAAUCUGAUUUGCAAUCCAGAGGGGUUUGUAGUGUUAACGUAAGUACAUUGAGUAGGUUUUGACUAAUUCAGCCUCAGCUGAAAAUGAGUAUGUAUAUAAUGGGAU